GACCUACAAACGAACCACUGACUCCUGCAGACGAUCCAGAACCUGGCAACACCACAGCAAUUAUUAUUGGAUGCAUUCUGGCUUUUUUAAUCGUGCUUUCUCUAAUUGCUGUAUUUUGGAAAUACCGAUCUUCCAUGAAAACUGGGUGAGUCAGCCCAAGAGAAGCUCUCCCUGAUUCUCUUUAGCCUUCUUGGUUGCUGAGUGAGCUACCAUAUGCUUCUUGACUUCACUUUACCUUCUACUUUGCUCACACUUUCCGCAUACAUGUGCUUAAUGUUCAGAAAGGGCUUGCACAUUUUUUGUUGGAACAGUUGCACUAAUCUGCUAGCACAGAAUAAAAGCACAGUAAUUUUUCUAGAAUGGCUAUCCCAUUUGGUGUUCU
Molecule: long non-coding RNA, 382 nt
Organism: Lacerta agilis (Sand lizard)
Lineage: Eukaryota; Metazoa; Chordata; Lepidosauria; Squamata; Lacertidae
Exons: 3
Source: RefSeq, a predicted model, not a curated record